This 2337-nucleotide ribosomal RNA is filed under the name Salmonella enterica subsp. enterica serovar Johannesburg. Its description in RNAcentral is "partial 23S ribosomal RNA". It matches the Rfam family "Bacterial large subunit ribosomal RNA", at positions 622 to 2925 of the family's 2925-position model. Lineage: Bacteria; Pseudomonadati; Pseudomonadota; Gammaproteobacteria; Enterobacterales; Enterobacteriaceae. The record is from RNAcentral.
AGCGACUUAUAUUCUGUAGCAAGGUUAACCGAAUAGGGGAGCCGGAGGGAAACCGAGUCUUAACCGGGCGUUAAGUUGCAGGGUAUAGACCCGAAACCCGGUGAUCUAGCCAUGGGCAGGUUGAAGGUUGGGUAACACUAACUGGAGGACCGAACCGACUAAUGUUGAAAAAUUAGCGGAUGACCUGUGGCUGGGGGUGAAAGGCCAAUCAAACCGGGAGAUAGCUGGUUCUCCCCGAAAGCUAUUUAGGUAGCGCCUCGUGAAUUCAUCUCCGGGGGUAGAGCACUGUUUCGGCUAGGGGGCCAUCCCGGCUUACCAACCCGAUGCAAACUGCGAAUACCGGAGAAUGUUAUCACGGGAGACACACGGCGGGUGCUAACGUCCGUCGUGAAGAGGGAAACAACCCAGACCGCCAGCUAAGGUCCCAAAGUCAUGGUUAAGUGGGAAACGAUGUGGGAAGGCCCAGACAGCCAGGAUGUUGGCUUAGAAGCAGCCAUCAUUUAAAGAAAGCGUAAUAGCUCACUGGUCGAGUCGGCCUGCGCGGAAGAUGUAACGGGGCUAAACCAUGCACCGAAGCUGCGGCAGCGACGCUGAUGCGUUGUUGGGUAGGGGAGCGUUCUGUAAGCCUGCGAAGGUGUGUCGUGAGGCAUGCUGGAGGUAUCAGAAGUGCGAAUGCUGACAUAAGUAACGAUAAAGCGGGUGAAAAGCCCGCUCGCCGGAAGACCAAGGGUUCCUGUCCAACGUUAAUCGGGGCAGGGUGAGUCGACCCCUAAGGCGAGGCCGAAAGGCGUAGUCGAUGGGAAACGGGUUAAUAUUCCCGUACUUGGUGUUACUGCGAAGGGGGGACGGAGAAGGCUAUGUUGGCCGGGCGACGGUUGUCCCGGUUUAAGCGUGUAGGUGUGUGUUCCAGGUAAAUCCGGUUCACUUUAACACUGAGGCGUGAUGACGAGGCACUACGGUGCUGAAGCAACAAAUGCCCUGCUUCCAGGAAAAGCCUCUAAGCAUCAGGUAACAUCAAAUCGUACCCCAAACCGACACAGGUGGUCAGGUAGAGAAUACCAAGGCGCUUGAGAGAACUCGGGUGAAGGAACUAGGCAAAAUGGUGCCGUAACUUCGGGAGAAGGCACGCUGACACGUAGGUGAAGUGAUUUACUCAUGGAGCUGAAGUCAGUCGAAGAUACCAGCUGGCUGCAACUGUUUAUUAAAAACACAGCACUGUGCAAACACGAAAGUGGACGUAUACGGUGUGACGCCUGCCCGGUGCCGGAAGGUUAAUUGAUGGGGUCAGCGCAAGCGAAGCUCCUGAUCGAAGCCCCGGUAAACGGCGGCCGUAACUAUAACGGUCCUAAGGUAGCGAAAUUCCUUGUCGGGUAAGUUCCGACCUGCACGAAUGGCGUAAUGAUGGCCAGGCUGUCUCCACCCGAGACUCAGUGAAAUUGAACUCGCUGUGAAGAUGCAGUGUACCCGCGGCAAGACGGAAAGACCCCGUGAACCUUUACUAUAGCUUGACACUGAACAUUGAGCCUUGAUGUGUAGGAUAGGUGGGAGGCUUUGAAGUGUGGACGCCAGUCUGCAUGGAGCCGGCCUUGAAAUACCACCCUUUAAUGUUUGAUGUUCUAACGUGGACCCGUGAUCCGGGUUGCGGACAGUGUCUGGUGGGUAGUUUGACUGGGGCGGUCUCCUCCUAAAGAGUAACGGAGGAGCACGAAGGUUGGCUAAUCCUGGUCGGACAUCAGGAGGUUAGUGCAAUGGCAUAAGCCAGCUUGACUGCGAGCGUGACGGCGCGAGCAGGUGCGAAAGCAGGUCAUAGUGAUCCGGUGGUUCUGAAUGGAAGGGCCAUCGCUCAACGGAUAAAAGGUACUCCGGGGAUAACAGGCUGAUACCGCCCAAGAGUUCAUAUCGACGGCGGUGUUUGGCACCUCGAUGUCGGCUCAUCACAUCCUGGGGCUGAAGUAGGUCCCAAGGGUAUGGCUGUUCGCCAUUUAAAGUGGUACGCGAGCUGGGUUUAGAACGUCGUGAGACAGUUCGGUCCCUAUCUGCCGUGGGCGCUGGAGAACUGAGGGGGGCUGCUCCUAGUACGAGAGGACCGGAGUGGACGCAUCACUGGUGUUCGGGUUGUCAUGCCAAUGGCACUGCCCGGUAGCUAAAUGCGGAAGAGAUAAGUGCUGAAAGCAUCUAAGCACGAAACUUGCCCCGAGAUGAGUUCUCCCUGAGACUUAGAGUCUCCUGAAGGAACGUUGAAGACGACGACGUUGAUAGGCCGGGUGUGUAAGCGCAGCGAUGCGUUGAGCUAACCGGUACUAAUGAACCGUGAGGCUUAACCUUACAACGCCGAAG